UACGGAGGGUCCGAGCGUUAUCCGGAAUCAUUGGGUUUAAAGGGUCCGUAGGCGGGCCUGUAAGUCAGGGGUGAAAGUUUGUGGCUCAACCAUAAAAUUGCCUUUGAUACUGCAGGUCUUGAGUCAUGGUGGGGUUGCCGGAACAUGUGGUGUAGCGGUGAAAUGCAUAGAUAUCACAUAGAACACCGAUCGCGAAGGCAGGUGACCAACCAUGUACUGACGCUGAUGGACGAAAGCGUGGGUAGCGAACGGGAUUAGAUACCCCGGUAGUCCACGCCGUAAACGAUGGAUACUAGCUGUGGGGACGCAAGUCUCCGUGGCCAAGCGAAAGUGAUAAGUAUCCCACCUGGGGAGUACGUUCGCAAGAAUGAAACUCAAAGGAAUUGACGGGGGCCCGCACAAGCGGUGGAGUAUGUGGCUUAAUUCGAUGCAACGCGAAGAACCUUACCUGGGCUUGACAUGCAUCUCUAAGCGCGUGAAAGCGCGUGACCCUUCGGGGGAUUUGCACAGGUGCUGCAUGGCCGUCGUCAGCUCGUGUCGUGAGAUGUUGGGUUAAGUCCCGCAACGAGCGCAACCCUUGUGAUCAGUUGCCAGCGCGUCAUGGCGGGAACUCUGAUCAGACUGCCCAGAUCAACUGGGAGGAAGGUGGGGACGACGUCAGGUCAGUAUGGCCCUUACGCCCAGGGCUGCACACGUACUACAAUGCCCAGUACAAUGGGAACCGAGGCCGCGAGGCGGAGGAAAUCCACAAAACUGGGCCCAGUUCGGAUUGGAGGCUGCAACUCGCCUCCAUGAAGUCGGAAUCGCUAGUAAUGGCGCAUCAGCUACGGCGCCGUGAAUACGUUCCCGGGUCU
RNAcentral lists this ribosomal RNA (854 nucleotides) under uncultured bacterium. Its description in RNAcentral is "SSU rRNA". It matches the Rfam family "Bacterial small subunit ribosomal RNA", at positions 524 to 1381 of the family's 1533-position model. The record is from RNAcentral.